This 483-nucleotide ribosomal RNA is filed under the name uncultured bacterium. Its description in RNAcentral is "bacterial SSU rRNA". It matches the Rfam family "Bacterial small subunit ribosomal RNA", at positions 335 to 801 of the family's 1533-position model. The record is from RNAcentral.
ACUCCUACGGGAGGCGAGCAGUGGGGAAUAUUGGCACAAUGGGCGCAAGGCCAUCGAUGCAGCCAUGCCGCGUGUGUGAAGAAGGCCUUCGGGUUGUAAAGCACUUUCAGUUGUGAGGAAGGUGUGUCGUUAAUAGCGGCAUCAUUUGAUCGUUAGCAACAGAAGAAGCACCGGCUAACUCCGUGCCAGCAGCCGCGGUAAUACGGAGGGUGCGAGCGUUAAUCGGAAUUACUGGGCGUAAAGCGCAUGCAGGUGGCUUUGUUAAGUCAGAUGUGAAAGCCCGGGGCUCAACCUCGGAACUGCAUUUGAAACUGGCAGACUAGAGUACUGGUAGAGGGGGUAGAAUUUCAGGUGUAGCGGUGAAAUGCGUAGAGAUCUGAAGGAAUACCGGUGGCGAAGGCCGGCCCCCUGGACAGAUACUGACACUCAGGAAUGCGAAAGCGUGGGGAGCAAACAGGAUUAGAUACCCUGGUAGGUGACAAU